AAAACGUUUGACAACCGUUAGCGGUGGAUCACUCGGUUCGUGUAUCG
This 47-nucleotide ribosomal RNA is filed under the name Kudoa thyrsites. RNAcentral describes it as "partial 5.8S ribosomal RNA". The record is from RNAcentral. Lineage: Eukaryota; Metazoa; Cnidaria; Myxozoa; Multivalvulida; Kudoidae.